AAGUUCUUGUUAAAGAAAGAUUACCUAAAUUUACAGAAGAAGAAUCCAAGUUCAUAAAAGGGUCAUUUGAUUUUGUUGGAAUGAAUUAUUAUACUACUCACUAUUCAAGAGAUCAACCUCAUAAUAAUUCUGCAAAUGCAAGCUACUUGACCGAUACUCGCGUUUUUGAAUCAAGUGAGUACAAAAUGAGAAACCAAUUAUUUAAUUUGAGUAAUUUAAGUUCAUCAAAAUAUUUAAAAUCUCAUAUUCCUAUAUAUUGUGGCAGCCGAGCUUAAUGGAGUCCCCCUUGGUCCUCCGGUACGCAUCGAACAAUUAGCUAAACUAUUUGCAUUCAAAGAGUAAUUGUUUUUCAUUUAGUUAACUUACCUUCAUAUAUUGGGGUUGCAGGCUGCUUCAAGCUGGCUAGUUGUUUAUCCAAAAGGCAUUCGAGAGCUUUUACUCUACACAAAGCACAAAUAUAAUGAUCCGCUUAUUUUCAUUACCGAGAACUGUAAUUAUUUUUAAGCCUUAAUUAACUAAAUAAUUAAUGCUUCACAUGUAUAUUGUGUAAAAUGCAGUUGACAUCUAUAAGCGAUCUACAUAUAAAACUAGAUGGGAACUCACGAACAUUUGGCAAUCGGUUGAAUCGAUAGGAAUGAAAUGAUGAAUCUAUUUCUUCGCCUCUUUGUCAAUAAAAAACAUCAAAUAACAAAUUAAUUAUAUUGCAGGCAUUGAUGAGUUAAAUGAUCCUACAUUGUCACUUCUGCAAUCCUUCAAUGAUACCCACAUAAUUGAUUACCACUACCAUCACCUCGACUAUCUUCGAAAAGCAAUCAAGUAAGUUCUUUUCAAAAGUUAAAUAAGGUUUAACUUAUAUCUUUUACUUAUCACUACACUAGACAUAAUAACAUUUGAAAUUUGCCUUUUUUGUGCGGUGAUGGUGUAAAUGUGAAGGGAUACUUUUCAUGGUCAUUGUUGGACAAUUUUGAAUGGGAUUCUGGAUACACCGUACGAUUUGGUUUCAUCUAUAUAUAUUACAAUGAUGGACUUAAGAGGCACCCAAAACUCUUAGCAAGCUGGUUCAAAUAAAUAUGCCAAGCAUAUCAUUUCUCUAUUUUCAUUAUUGUAUUCCUUUAUGAAUGCUCUCCCUUUUUCGUAAAAUAAAUAUGCCAAUUAUAUAUGGAUGUUUUUUUGUGUAUGGACAAAAUUAAAAAAUGGUCCCUAUAACAUAUAGGAUGUGGGAAUAUGAUUUUCUGGGCCUAUAACAUGUGGCAUCGGGUGGCAAGAGGGACCGGAAUACUCGUAACCCAUGAAGCAUAGUCCUUAGUCUGACAUACUACACAUUGAAGAUGUUACUUGUCUCAUAAGUAAGAAAACCCUAAUUCAAGUCAAAUUAGGAUAUCUUAGAAAUAGGUAUCAUAAGAAGAUUUGAUAUCUUAUCCUAGAUUCCCGAUUUGAUAGGCUUACUCUCCCUACCAAGACUAUGAAGAUGGACUCUGAAGAACUGUUCACCUUCUCUACAACUAUCAUAUGCAUAUUCUCUCUACGCCUAACAGAGACUCAUCUUGCAUACACGCCGCCGUUUACACAUAGACGCGUUCAUUAGAAACUUAUCUUCUUAACGCCUCACCAUAGGUUAUUCGUCAAGAAUAGUUCAUGAUGUAGCUCACAUCGCACCAUUCUUUCUUAGAGUUACACCGGUGAGGUAAUGCAUUUGUAUUGAUUAACCUUUCAAACCAUAAAUCUGCAUUUGCAUACAACACACAUAGCUUUACACCUAAAUUCCACGAUCACAUGAAUUAAGGACAUUCUUGAUGAAAUCAAGCAUGUUAGAACCCAUCACAACAUUUACGCAUUGACUAUUCAAAACAUAGAAGAACAUGAUAUUUUGAAGAAAAAGGAGAACAAUUUAGGAGGUUAGGCCACUCUAACCGACCCGGCCAAAUGGUCAUAGGGCUAAAAAUAGCUUUGAAUGACACGAAAACUAUUUCUAAUCGAGGGCUAGGCUAAAGGGCUUGUGGGCCCCAUUGGGUCAAAAAGGUAAAAUCAGGCCAGCAGGUUGGCCAUUUCUAGCCAGCCAGCCAGCCCGCCCUGCAGCCUAACCCACUCGACUGCCAACGGCUACCUGACGUCAGGUUAAUGUUGGAAUUUGAAAAUUUUUUUGGACGAAUUUAAAAAAAAAAAGCUAUUUUUUUCCUAUAAAUACCUAAGUCAUUCCUACACCAUUUUUCACAUCCUUUUUCACCAUUCCAUACUAUCUUACCUCUUGCAAUAAUCUUUCUUUUAAUUUUUUCAAUAAUUUUCAAAAGGCCACAUCUGCAAUGAAGAAAAGGCUUGGACCCAAAAAGAAGAUGAAGCUCUUUGCAGGGCUUAUAGAUGGGUCUUGGAAGAUAGUGUCAAUGAUUGUUCUCAAACAAGUGAAUGUGUUUGGACUCGUACGUCCAAAAAGUACUAUGAGUUCUACGAAGGCACCACUCCACUGAAACCACGAGAGUUGUUCUUCAAGAUGAAAAAAACAUCUUCAACCAAGUUUGAAUAAAUGACAUCAAGCCGUGGUAAGCGACGAAAGGAGAAAUGAAAGCAGAGCCAAUUACUACAACCAAUAAGUGUUUUCACAAGUUAUUUUAAAUAUUUAAUUAUAUUACAUUUAAUUUCUUAAAUUAAUUUCCUUUAAUUUUCGUAACUAUAUUUUCUAGGUACGUCAAGCAGAGGAAUUGUAUAUGGAGGACAUGAAAAAACCCUUUACUCAUUAUGGUUAUUGGGAAAUUUGUAAAGGGUGGGUGUUAUUUCAAGAUCUACCUCAAGAAAGAUUUGAUCCUAUCUAAAAAUUGCACAACCAAUUACAUCUCGACACAUGACACUCAAAAUCCUAUCCGAAAAAUUACUAAGAUUGCAUAAAGAUAAGAAAUCAGGAGAGUUACUCACUUUAACGACACGUGUCACUCGAAAUCCUAUUUGAAAAAUUAUUGAGAUUAUAAAAACAAAAAAUUUGGAGGCUUAUUCAUUUGGCGACAAGUGACACUCAAAAUAUGUUCGAAAACCUUAUUUUAAUAUGGUAGUUUAAUUUAAUUAACCAUAUUAAUUAAAUUAAAAUAAUAAAUUAUGUUUGGCCCGUUUGGCCUUCUCGGUUGGAGAUCAGUUUUUUGUCAAAUGGCUAUGUUUAGCUUAUGACCUUUUGCCCCUCUCGGUUGGAGAUGGUAUAAAAUAUGGUCUGACAUUGUUUAUGAAAAUAUAAUUUCUUGUAGAGGGCUAAACAUAGCCCUUUGACCAUCAUUCAGUUGGAGAUAGUCUUAGAACUAUAGAAAGGAAAAGCUAAUGUCUGAAACAGAAGCAGAAAGUGGAAAAUGACAUGACGCGAGCUCAAUAGCAUUAGCAAACUCAAAUGUCUUAAUGCUUCAUCAACAAUCAAGCUAAAAUUGGGCAAAACACAUUGAAUUAAUGCAGAAUCUGGAAAUAAAGAAAAAAGAAAAAAUCCAUAAAUAAAUCCAACUGAGCCAUGAAAUUUAAAUUUACGUACCACAGCUAAGAAAUCAAAAUAUGUAAAAUCGUAUAUAUGGGCAAUGUUCGUUUUCUUCUAAAAGUUGGAACCCUUAGCUUUUGGUCAUCUGGAGAUCACCAGAAAGCUCUAAACUCGAAUCUUACUUUUCAAUCAGACCGAAAUGCGAACUGCACGACCUUCUCGUCAUUCAGAUUCAUCCCGGUCAUUGCCUCGCCCAAUCCGCAGCUGAUCUCCGCCAGCACAUCCGGGUCACUAUAAUAGGUUGAAGCCUGCACAAUAGCCUAGGCUCUCCGGGCAGGGUCACUGCUAUUGAACAUGCCCGACCUGACGAAAACCCCAUUGCACCUCUACUGCAUCAUCAGCUUCGCGUCUGCGGGAGUUGGCACGCCACCAAUGGCAAAAUGCACCACCGGCAGCCUCUCGAGCUGCUUCGUCUACAUCAUGAGAUCGUACGGCACCGAGAUCUUCUUCGCGUACGCGAACACCUUGUUGUCGUCCAUGUUCCUCAAGGCCCUGAUGUCCCCCAUCACGUGACGCACGUGUCGAACGGCCUUUACGAUGUUUCUGGUGCCGGCUCCCCCUUCGUCCGGAUCAUCAUGGCGCCCUCGCAGAUUUUGCGGAACGCCUCGCCGAGAUUCUGACAUACUCAGACGAAUGGGACUGGAAAAUUAUGCUUGUUGAUGUGGUGCUCCUCGUCGAAAAUUAUGCUUGGGCCUCAACAAAAUGGCCAAUGCGAGCUUUGGCCAUGACGGGGAUAGUGACAGAGCGCUUGAUCUCCUUGAUGAGCUGGGGGUCGGACAUUCUGGCGACACCACCCUGGGAUCAGAUAUCGGCAGGAACGCGCUCCAGGGCCAUGACGGCGUAGGCACCAUCCUCUUAGGCGAUGCGGGCCUGGGCAGGGUUGACAACGUCUAUGAUGACGCCACCGCGGAGCAUUUGGGCUAGGCCGACUUUGAUGGCGAAUGGGGAAGACUUGGUGGUGGUUUCGUAUAUGGUGCCUGUUAUAUCCCGGCCCAGGCCCCCACUGCAUCCCGGGCUCGACUCUACCAUAGCACAAUAUUGUCUGCUUUGGGCCCCGACCACGCCCUCACGGUUUUGUUUCUAGGAACUCACGAGCAACUUCCCAGUGGGUCACCCAUCAUGGGAUUGCUCUCAUGCGAACUCGUUUAACUUCGGAGUUCCAAUGGAACACGAAGCCAAUGAGCUCCCAAAAGGCCUUGCGAUAGGUAGAGAUGGGAAUAUACAUAUAAGGCUUACAGGAUCCACUUCCCUAGGCGAUGUGUAAUGUUACAGUGCCUUUGCCGUAGACGGUGACGACGCCGCUUUUAUCAGCCAUUCUCUGGGGGAUUGGUGGAAUGUGAGAUUUCGCGAGAAAGGAGGAGGAAGGUGGUGCAUAGUGGAAAGUGAGUGGGGAAGAAGAUGAUGAUAUGGAAAUGGUAUAAAAUAAAUAAUGGUAUGGAACAGGGAUACACACACACAUUCUGCUACUCAAAUUUCCCGUAUCUAUUUUUGGCAACUUCUAUUUUUCCUAAAAGAGUAAUGUUAUUCAUAUCAUGUUUUUGUACCACAUUUUUAUACCACCUUAGUUGGCGUGUGAUGUGGAUAGCCACCUAUGGUGGUAUGAAAAUGUAGUACAAAAACAUGGUAUGAAUAUCAUUACUCUUCCUAAAAUGGAGUUUUUAGUAUACGGUUGAUUCAUUAAAUUACGUUUUUUUAUUUAUCUUUUUUACGUUUAAAUCACGAAAUUUUCACACUAGUUUCGGUGAUACACGUAUUCUACAUGUAUUUUAAAUAUAUUACUGGUAAAGUAAAAAUAAAAUAAGGACUUGUUACAUUUCAAACUCUAUGUUCGGGAUGAUUUUUAAAAUAGGCUAUGAGUUUCUAAUUUUCUCAAGAGUUUUAAAAUAGUAUCAAUCUAUAUAGUGUUCUACCAUUGUGACACCCAAUAUCAAUGGACAAAAACAAACAUUUUUUAGGCCGAGUAAACGGGUUAUGUUUUUGUCGUUCGUAUAAUACUAAUUAUCUUAACAAAUAAUAUCGUGUCAAAUCCAUUAUCUUAAAAAAUUCUUAUCAAGUGACCUAAUAAUAACUCGAAUAUCACAUAGGUAAUUCUCCGGAUAAUGACCACCUUGGCGGCUAUUCGGAGAGUAGACUACCAGGAUCUAGCAGCAGUGGACUCACGCAAUCGACAUUGAUCCAAACAUCAUAAAGUCAGGAAAAAGAAAGAAAAAGCUAAAAAUAAUACCCUUUUCAUGGGAAGAGAAUAAUUAUACUAUUUUAAUUACAAAAAUGAAAACUCAAAGAAUUAGGAUUAUUACACUACGACAGCAUAUAUCCUAGUUUCAUCGUCUCCGUCCCUUCGGAUUCAUGUCCUCCACGGCGUCCAUCGUUUCUUGUUUUUUCCGCUUCCAUCUCUUGAUGAGAUUACUAUCAGCCGACCGGAGAGUGCACGGCGGGCUAGGAGAAGGGUACGCGGUAGACCUUUUAAGCCAUUCUCUCUGUUUCGGGUCAGCAAGACAAAGCAGGGAUUCUGCACAUACUUCCAUAGCAGAAGCUGGAAUGUCUAGCUCGAAGUCCAGCAGCUUAGAGUACUCCACGAUGAGGUGAAACAUGUAAUCCUAGACCCGAUCCAUGCUUAGGCUUUCCAUGAAAUCCUGCCCUCUUUGUCCCAUUGCCUUAGCCUGUUCAGCCAUUGGAGUAUAUUUUAGCCUCGAUUAUGUUUUUUUUUUUCAAAAGAAGAUAUAAACUUGAAGGGAAAGCCGGGGUAAAACUGAAUUGUACAUUACUGAUGCAAAAUGUAACAACAGGAACGAGAACAUGAUAUAGAAUACUACUAACAGUUGAAAGAAGAAGGGAUUUUAUUCUACACAAAGGGGGAGGGGGUGGGUUUAGCCUUACAAUGGGCUAGUAAUAAUGUGGUUCAAAUUUGCAUUUGGCGAGAAUCGAACCUGAAUCGAACCUAAAACCUCACACUUACAAGUGAAGAGGAAUACCACUAGAUCGUAGUACUAAGUAGCAAGUAUUUACAAAUUAGAAGAAGGGAUUUUAUUCAUGAUGACCUAGCUUUGUUUUUACUUUGAUUUAUGAAUGAAAAAUAUUAUUAUUUAGUUUUUGUAAGUUUAUUAUUUUUUUUGGACGUUUUACAUUGGGUGGUAACCACCCAAUGUGAGAAUCCUAGAUCCGCCACUGUUCCCUAGUAUGGCAUAUGUUCUCUCAUUUUCUCCAAACAAUUUUUCUCAAUAUCCCAACCUACAUGCUUGUCUCUCCUCCUUAAUGAUCUUUUUUUUUUAAAUUUUUUUUAUUAUUUUUUUGCAGCUUGUUUCACACGUUAUUACUUUUUAAGUUUUGUUUUAGAUGGGUUAGGUUUAAUGUCCCCCUCCUACAUUCCUUGUAUCUUUCUUGUUUCUGUUUCUAGAGGGAUAUGGUUAAUGUUCCCCUUUUUUCAUCUAUUUUUUUUUCCUUGUAUCAUGAGAGGUAAAGUUUAUGUCCCUUUUAACUAGAUGACUUUCUUUCGUUACCAAUAAAAUUCUCUUGUAUCGCCGACGUUUCUUAAAAAAAAACAUAGUUUUAUUCAAAAUCGAUGUGUGAAUUCGUGUAUAUAAAACCUUUGCCCCAAGAAAGUAUAGAACCAGAACUGAAACUUUACGCUUUACACUCUUGUAUUCUAAGUACUCUCUUAGAAGUCUAGAACCAGAACUGUGGAACCUUUUUGUUCUCGUUGCCUGCUAUCAUAACUACAAUAUAACUAAUUUCUUUGAAAAUUUUUCUGUAGCGAUGGAUUAGGUGCGAACCUUCCAAACUAGCAUAGGGAUACAUCUCUAUUUCAAUCCACUUUUUGACAGUUUCUACAAUAUAACUAAUUUUUUUGACAAUUUUGUUGUAGCGAUGGAUUAGGCGCGAACCCUCCAAACUAGCAUAGGGAUACAUCUCCAUUUAAGGGUAAAGUGAAUAGUACCAUGAUUGACUUUUUAGUGUAAAAAUGUGGUUUUUCGUUAAAGUGAGCAGUACCGGGAACUUUUCGUUAAAGUUCCCUUAAAAUAAUUCCCACUUUUUCUAAAACCACGACAAACUAACUCAUACUGUGACAACUUGUUCCUAAUUUUCCGUUUUUAUUAAUUUUAAAAGCGUGGAUUGACGAAAAUGCAAUAAAGGUAAGGACUUUGACUUCUGUUGACCAUCGUGUAGAGAAGCGUAUGACUUAUUCUUUUGACGUAUUUGCGUAGUACUCGAUGGUAUGAACGCAUAGGCAAAGACCGUUUGCGAGUCCGGAUUAUAACGGUAUAGUUACAGAUGUUUGAAAUUGGUUACUUACAUUUUAGAUUAUAAAUUAUUUGAACUCGCACCAUGUGGGAAUGGUAACCAAUCAGAAGUAAGGGAAGGAAAUAAGGGACCACUAAGUUAAAAGAAAGAGAUGACCAAUCAGAAAAUGAGAAGAAAGGGAAGGAAGGUGGUACGGGGGAGGAAGUCCCCAUUUGAUGGGAAGCGGAAGAACUAGAGAAGGAGGAGGUGAGUGGACCAAUGGGAGGAAGAGAAGGGAAGAAAGGAGAGAGGAGUGCGAGGCACGGGAUUAGGAGCAGUGUCUGGAAAAAAAAUUGAAAUAAGGACAGUUGAGAAAUGUAUCAAAACUGUCUUGAGCAACAAAAAAUAAAUAAACAAUUUGACCGCAAUUAAAUUACAGGACCAUUAAAUCUUUUCACACACAAAAAUAGCAAUAUUCUAUGAACUAGAAAAACAUACAAAAAUAGCUAUAUUUUAUGAAUUAAAAAAACAAAAAUCUUCUAAUGCUCACAUUAAAAAUCAAGUUUUCUACCUACCCAUAGUGAAACAAAGGACAAUUGGUUUUGUUUAUUAGUUUGGCACGUGUGGUAGUUGGAAUAAUGAAAGUGGGAUGGUGGACGACAAUGGAAAAUGGAAGUGGGGAUGGUGGACGUCAUUUCAUCACCUUCAUAUUUAAUAAGGUAACAGGCUUUCCAUUAGGGGGCAAGUUUGAAAAAAAAAUAAAAAAUUAUUGUGUUGAGCUUUUAGUUCGGUCACCAGCUUUUAUGUUUGGAGGGCUGGUACAUGAAUAGUUUGUCAUUAAGAUUAAAUUUUAUGUUUUUAUGGUUAAAUAAUAGUUUAUGGUAGUAUUUGGUUAAAUUAAAGUUAGGUUCAAGUUCUUUUCAUUAAAGCCUCUUUUUUUUUUCCUUGUAUUAUGAGAGGUAAAGUUUAUGUCCCUUUUAACUAGAUGUAACUUUCUUUCGUUACUAAUAAAAUUCUCUUGCAUCGCAGACGUUUGUUAAAAAUAAAAAAAUAAAAAAAGUUUUAUUCAAGAUGGAUGUGUGAAUUCGUGUAUAUAAAACCUUUCCCCAAGAAAGUAUAGAACUAGAAGUAAAACUUUACACUUUACACUCUCAUAUUCUAAUUACUCUCUUAGAAGUCUAGAACCAAAAUUGUGGAACCUUUUUGUUCCCGUUGCCUGCUAUCAUAACUACAAUAUAACUAAUUUUUUUCGACAAUUUUGUUGUAGCGAUGCAUUAGGUGCAAACCCUCCAAACUAGCAUAGGGAUGCAUCUCUAUUUCAAUCCACUUUUUGACAGUUUCUACAAUAUAACUAAUUUUUUUUGACAAUUUUGCUAUAGCGAUGGAUUAGGUGCGGACCCUCCAAACUAGCAUAGGGAUACAUCUCAAUUUCAAUCCACUUUUUGACAAUUUUGGUGUAGUGGUCAGCCCUCUAGAACACUUUUGUAGUCUUUUAUUAUGUUACUGAGACCAGCUGAAUUUCCUUAACAAAUUGUCAAAUUCCAAGCAGGAAGUAAAGAUAUCUAACUCUAAAAUAAUUACAAAGUAUGGAACAACAUUAAUAUUAACAAACCAGUAUAUCCAGUAAUUCCCACAAACAAGUACUUACUUCGUUUUUGUAUGUACAAUACCUCUUAACUUGUUACACAUUUCAAUAGGUUUGGAGGAAAAACGUGAAGAAAUAGAAUUUCACCCCUGCUUUUUUUACCCCAUCCCUAAUAAAAGUUUCACCUCACCAUAAUCUGUUCAUUGAAAUCUCCAAGAUAUUAAGUUUCAUGUACGCUAUGUGCACGUUCCCAACUUAAUGCAAGUCAUGACCUUAUCACGAUUAGAUUAUAUAGGGCAACUUAGUGCAACUAUUCAAGUCAUGACCUUAUCAAGAUUAGAUUAUAUAGGGCUAUAUUCUCGUGACAUUCUAAAUUAUUUAUAGUGUUGUGAAGGUGUCUAGCCAAUUGAUAUCGAAGACUUUUGGUACUUAUUUAUAAUCUAUACUUUUACUAAUUAUUUAUUAUCUGUAUUGAUCCACGUUCUUAAUUAAAUAUUAACGGUUACAUGUUUUCCUCAUACAUACUUUCUCUAUAUAAACGCCACGCGAGGAAGGCCAAAACCAUUCCAGUUCACCAAAAGCCCUAAUUAGCAAUUGCCAUCCAUCUUGAAUAAAACUUUUUUUUAUUUUUUUAUUUUUAACAAACGUCUGCGAUACAAGAGAAUUUUAUGGUAACGAAAGAAAUUUACAUCUAGUUAAAAGGGACAUAAACUUUACCUCUCAUAAUACAAGGAAAAAAAAGAGAGGCUUUAAUGAAAAGAACUUGGCUGAUGAUCAAUACCACCACUAUAAGGUUCAAAAAUUUCAUUAACUUUGUUCUCCAGUCCUUCUGAAUUAUUCAAUAGUAUAAGGAGAAUUAAAGAAUUUACGGCCUUAAGAAAAUUAAGGACGUUGAAGAUGAGGCAUUUUCUUAUAAUACAUAUUGUGUUAUUCUAUAUAGGAAGAUGUAAAGAUUAUGAAUGAUAUGAGAUUGGAUGCUUAUAGGUUCUCUAUCUCAUGGUCAAGAUUGUUACCAAGUAAGUUGCUCAUCCGCAUUCGCAUUAAUUAGUUGGGACGAAGUAGUGUGCAGGCCUGGCCCAGGCCCAGUGCCACAGGGGCAACUGUCCAGGGCCCAAAACUAAAGGGGGCACCAAAAAAAUAACCCAAAUAACUAGGUAUUAAAAAAAAAAGGUCCAAAGCCCAAAUAGGGGCUGGAGGGCAAGAGCCCAAGAAAAGUGAAAAAAAGGCCCAGGUUUAAUUUUAUAUAUAUAAAAAAAAAAUUACAAAACGACAUUUAAAGGGACCACUCGGUCCCCACAAACCCUAUAUUCCCAUAUCCCUACUCCCCUUUCCCGAUAUCCUCCCCUCCCCCCUCCCCCCAACCCCCCCACCCCCUGGUUCCCCACUUCCCUCCCUGCCGUCUGAGUCCCUUUUCAAUUGCAAUCUCCUGCAGGACUGGAGGUCCUUGUCCCUUCUCCUCAGUAGCGCCAAGCCCAUUCACCAUUCAUUGGUUGCUGCAAGUGCAAGUGCCAAGAGCAUUCACUCACCACCAACCCUUUUGAGUUUUGAGGUAAACUAAUUUUUAAAAUUUGAAUUAUCAAUUCAUAAUUUAAUAUAAAAUUUUGCAAGUGACAUAGAAUUAUAUGAUAAUUGAUGUAUAGAAUUGUUAUUGUUGAUGAAUUGAAUUACUGAUUUCAUUUCAAACCCAAUUUUUAGGUUCAAUUUUUAUAAUAUGUUAGACUAUGUGUUAGUAUUUUUAUAAUAUAUAAUAUGUGUUGGAAUGAUAAUUUUGAUAGGAAAUUUUUAUUAUAUCAUGUUUAGGUAAUUUUUGCAAACAAAUUAUGGAAGCCAUGUCUUUUAGGAAACAACUCUCUGGUAAUAUGAAAAGGAAAAAAAAGGCAAAGGAUAACGAAAUUGCCGAAAGUUUAAGAGGAUCUCUUCAUAAAGUUUUCUCUACAAAGAAUGAGUCAGUUGAAAAUUUGAGAGAAAAUAAUGUUGGUGAAGAAUCACAAAAUGUUGUUGCGGAGUCUCAUGAUCAUGAAAAUAGUAGUGAUUUAGAAGAAAAUGUUGCUGAUGCGUCUGAAGACCAUGAAAAUGUGGUGAUGUGAAUUUAAAUGUUGAUGAUGAUCAUAUUGGUGUAGAGGAAAAUAUUGAAUCUCCUGAACCUAUUUUCCAUUUAAACAUUUAUGAUCCAAGAGUUUGGGAUGGUCUUAAUGCAGAAAUGAGAGACUUGUAGAAAAGAGACCAAUUUGAGAAACUAAUAUCAUUUAUCCUAAGGACAAACUCUCUAGAAAAUUUUCCUCACACUACUAUGAUCGAAAAUUACCAACAUGUGAAAUUUAUGAUAGGAAAUUCCCCCCCCUUGGUUGUAUAUUUUCUCAAAUAAUAUAAUUUGGGCGUGAGGGCCUAGCCCCCUAGCUUCGACUGGGUUCCAGCCCUCGUUAAAUAUUUUUUUUUUCAAACAUAUAUUUUAGUAUUAAAAAAGGGCACAUUUUGAGCUUUCGUACUGGGCAUCCAAAAACUCAGGACCGGCCCUGGUAGUGUGUCCAUUCAUGAUGUUUGCUCUAAGUAAUAUAACCAAUAAUAUUUGUAGUUUAACCUAUUUUGUCCCCUUUCGAAUGUAUUUGCUUAUGUUCUUGUUUAAUUUUAAUUAUAUAAUUAGAUGGAAAGCUAAGUGGGGGUGUGAACAAGGAAGGAGUACAAUACUACAACAAUCUCAUCAAUGAACUCCUAAACAAAGGUGAUGCAACUGCUUAAUCUCAUAUAUCAUCCCACCUUACAAAUACACACACACACACAUAUACAUAUAUGCAUAUUAAGAGUUACAUGUUAUAUAAUCGAGCGUGUUGCUUUUAUUGAUAAUGCACAGGUGUAACGCCAUAUGCGACAAUCUUUCAUUGGGAUCUUCCUCAAGCUUUAGAAGAAGAAUAUGGUGGUUUCUUAAACCGUCAAAUUGUGUAAGUAGUAGACUUUGAUUCUCUAAUUAAUAAUAAUUCUUUAUCUUCUUGACGAUUGAUCGUUUAGAUAUUCAAAUGUAUAUUGCUAUAAUGCGUAAACCUUCAAAAUCAGCAUGCAACUGAUUUUUAAUUUUCCAUGUUGCAGCAAUCAUUUUCGAGACUAUGUAGAACUUUGCUUUCAAGUUAUUUGGUGAUCGGGUAAAGCAUUGGAUCACACUAAAUGAGCCAUAUACUUUUAUUACUUUUGGCUAUGCAUCAGGAGAAUUAGCACCCGGGCGAUGUUCUGCUUGGCAGAACUUAAACUGCAACGGCGGUGAUUCGGCUACCGAACCCUAUAUGGUAGCACCACUUCCUCCUCGCUCAUGCAGAUGCUGUUAAAGUGUACAAGACUAAAUAUCAGGUCAUAUUAAUACUCAAUGUUGUAAUAUUAAAUUAAUGAGAUAGGGUUAAUUUACCUUUUUUCAUACCGUAACUAAUCAAGUUUGGGUGGUGAUGUGCAGGCAUCUCAAGAAGGCGUGAUAGGAAUAACAUUAGCGACAAAUUGGUUUGUGCCAGUUUCUAACGCAACACGUCAUUGGAAUGCUGCAAAUCGAUCAUUGGAUUUUAUGUUUGGAUGGCAAGUUUAUUAAUUCCAAACUUAUAUAUCAACCCAAUUAACUGUUCAUUUAUAUGAUAAUAAUACAAAAUUUAUUGAUGAAAUUUCAAUGAUUAUGUAGGUUUAUGGAGCCAUUGACAAGCGGCCAAUAUCCGCACAGUAUGCAAGUUCUUGUUAAAGAAAGAUUACCUAAAUUUACAGAAGAAGAAUCCAAGUUAAUAAAAGGGCCAUUUGAUUUUGUUAGAAUGAAUUAUUAUACUACUCACUAUUCAAGUGAUCGACCUCAUAAUAAUUCUGCAAAUGCAAGCUUCUUGACCGAUGCUCGCGUUUUUGAAUCAAGUGAGUACAAAAUGAGAAACCAAUUAUUUAAUUUGAGUAAUUUAAGUUCAUCAAAAUAUUUAAAAUCUCAUAUUCCUAAAUGUUGUGGCAGCCGAGCUUAAUGGAGUCCCCCUUGGUCCUCCGGUACGUAUCGAACAAUUAGCUAAACUAUUUGCAUUCAAAGAGUAAAUGUUUUUCAUUUAGUUAACUUACCUUCAUAAAUUGGGGUUGCAGGCUGCUUCAAGCUGGCUAGUUGUUUAUCCAAAAGGCAUCCAAGAGAUUUUACUCUACACAAAGCACAAAUAUAAUGAUCCGCUCAUUUACAUUACUGAGAACGGUAAUUAUUUUUAAGCCUUAAUUAACUAAAUAAUUAAUGCUUCACAUGUAUAUGGUGUAAAAUGCAGUUGACAUCUAUAAGUGAUCUACAUAUAAAACUAGAUGGGAACUCCCAAACAUUUAGCAAUCUGUUGAAUCGAUAGGAAUGAAAUGAUGAAUCUAUAAUUCUUCGCCUCUUCGUCAAUAAAAAACAUCGAAUAAAAAAUUAAUUAUAUUGUAGGCAUUGAUGAGUUCGAUGAUCCCAAAUUGUCACUUCCGCAAUCCCUCAAUGAUACCCAUAGAAUUGAUUACCACUACCACCACCUCAACUAUCUUCGAAAAGCAAUCGAGUAAGUUCUUUUGAAAAGUUAAAUAAGGUUUAACUUAUAUCUUUUACUUAUCACUACACUAGACAUACUUACAUUUGAAAUUCGCCUUUUUGUGCAGUGAUGGUGUAAAUGUGAAGGGAUACUUUGCAUGGUCAUUGACGGACAAUUUUGAAUGGGGUGCUGGAUACACCUUACGAUUUGGUUUCGUCUAUAUAGAUUACAAUGAUGGACUUAAGAGGCACCCAAAAGUCUCAGCAAGCUGGUUUAAAUAUUUCCUUGGAUAAUGGUGAAGAUAUCCUGCUGCAGUUGUUGUUCGUGAAAUAAAUAUGCCAAGCAUAUCAUUUCCCUAUUUUCAUAAUUGUAUUCCUUUAGGAAUGUUCUUCCUCUUUCAUAAAAUAAAUAUGCCAAUUAUAUAUGGAUGUUUCUUUGUGUAUGGACAAAAUAAAAAAUGGUCCCUAUAACAUACAGGAUGUGGGAAUAUGAUUUUCUUGUCUCCUAAGUAAGAAAACCCUAUAAAAAAUGGUCCUUAUAACAUGUGGCAUCUCGGGUGGACAAAAUAAAAAAUGGUCCCUAUAAAAAAUGGUCCCUAUAAAAAAUGGUCCUUAUAACAUGUGUAUGUACAAAAUAAAAAAUGGUCCCUAUAACAUGUGUAUGGACAAAAUAAAAAAUGGUCCCUAUAAAAAAUGGUCCUUAUAACAUGUGGCAUCUCGGGUGGCAAGAGGGACCGGAAUACUUGUAACCCAUGAGCGUAGUCCUUAGUCUGACAUACUACACAUUGAAGAUGUUACUUGUCUCCUAAGUAAGAAAACCCUAAUUCAAGUCAAAUUAGGAUAUCUUAGAAAUUAGAUAAUGCAAUCAUAAUCGUAAGAAGAUUGGAUAUCUUAUCCUAGAUUCCCGAUUUGAUAGGCUUACUCUCCCUACCAAGACUAUGAACAACUGUUCAUCUUCUCUAUAACUAUCGUACGCAUAUUUUCUCUAUGCCUAACAGAGGCUCAUCUUGCAUACACGCCACCGUCUACACAUAGACGCGUUCAUUAGAAACUUAUCUUCUUAACGCCUCGCCAUAGGCUAUUCGUCAAGAAUAGUUCAUGAUGUAGUUCACAUCGCACCAUUCUUUCUUAGGGUUACACCAGUGAGGUAAUGCAUUCGUAUUGAUUAACCUUUCAAUAGAUGUCAACGGCCAUGCCAUGUGCUAUUAACAUGUUAUGCAUAUGAGAGAUUCACAUCAGAAUUACCAGUGGAACAAUUACCAAACGGCUGUGAACAAUGAGCUUGUGUAAAUACUCCUCUUAUAUAGGCUAAAUGAAUAAUGAGAUUGUUGUAAAACCCAAAUAAAAGGAGUUUAUAAAGGGACCAAUUAGGACGAUUUGAGAGAGAGGACUCCAUUGUUGCCUGUGAAUUGAUAUGAUAAAAAAGACAGAGACAAUAGAAACGAAAAUACCACUCAAACACCCAAUGGCAUUGGGAUAUAUCCUUUGUAAAUGGGUUGAAAGCCUCAUCACCUCUUUAUGCUGCAAUUCAAAAAAGCACGAUCAAAUCUCGGAAUUGAGUAGCAAUAGAAGAAUCUAGGGGACUAAAAAAGUUCCCAAAUAAAUUAAAACUGCAUAAACAAAAAAAAACAAAAAUAAUAUUUGAAUACGUGAGAUGAUUGAAGAACUAAUGGAGGAAGAAAUUGAAUGGAGUUUUACGCUAGCCAAAGGUUAAGAGGGAGGAGCGGAGUUUGAUGCAAAUUGGCACGGGCAGUUGUGAAACAGCGGGAACGUGUUGUAGUAGUUGUGAAAGAGUGAGAACUAUUAUCAAACUACCCUUUGGGAUGAUGAAUUUGGUUUUUUUUACCAGUUUGUCCUUAUUUUCUGAUUUUUUUUGGGUUUGAUUGUGAAGAAAAUAUAAGGAUAUUCUUGGUAUUUUGGAAUGUUUCACCAAACUGAGGCUCUCACUUUAUAUAUACUUUAUAUAUAUAGAUAUAGAUUAACGGUUACAUGUUUUCCUCAUACAUACUUUCUCUUUACUAGCCUCUUGCCACACGCAUUCGCGUGUGGCAAUUGACCUUUUUAUAUUAGAUUAUGUCUUUUAAUUUUUUUUAAGUUAACUAUUUUAUAUUUUUAUUAAAAAAUUAUUCAGAAAAAAAAAAGCAAAACCAUGAAACUACCCACUAACAUGGGAGUUUUUUUUAAUUAAAGUUUUAAAUUUAAAAUUCAUUCAAAAUUAAAAUGUGGUGAAUUACUUUAAAUUCUUAUGGUUCAAUUGUAAUUUUUAGAAUUUUUGACAGACAAUCUUUGGUAUUUUGAAUGUUUCACCUUUUUAUCCUUCUCACUUUAUGUCUAUAUAUAUAUAUAAAGUGAGAGCCCCAGUUUGGUGAAACAUUCAGUAAACCCAAUAUUGCCCUUUGCUUCAUUCACAAUUAAAAACCACAAAAGUUUAGAAAAUGAGGACAAAGUCGUAAAAACACCAUAAUUGGGUAGAAAACAAAUAAAAUAAAAUAAAAUCUAUAAACAUACGUGCUUAACAGUUAACCCUCACAAACUGCUAAGAAGUAGUGGGCAGUUUAAAAACACAAACUAAAAAAAAAUAAUAUAUUUACCAUAUAUGUAAAAAAGAAGUAUAAAAAAGGUUACAGUAGAAAGAAAAUAUAAAAAUUUAAAAUAUAAAAAAUUUAAAAAGUAUUGGAAAAGAAAACAGAAAUUUGAAAAAAAAGAAGAAAAACAAGUAGACGUGCUUAAGCCUCUCAAACUGCUAAGCAGUAGUGGGCAAUUUUCUCUCCCAAAGAUUUCCACGAUCUGAGUUUGGUGGGAAGGUUCAACACUAACCACCUGCAUACCACCAAUAUUUAGAGAUGUGUAAUCGGAAUGAGGCUAAUUUUAAUUUUCAGGAAUUCGCUGUGUGGUUUCAGUUCAUUCCAAACAAAAAAAGAUCGACAAACUCAGUGACAGAAAUUAGUAAAAGAUUUGAGCUUUCGGAACAAAUUUUUCUCCAAAAAUCAAAAAUUUCAUCGGGUUAGUGAUUCAUCUUUUCAGUUUUCGUUCUCUUCAACUUUUGUAAAUUCGAUAAAAGUUAUUUGUUCAUCCAAUUGGGUUAUCAGGAAAUGUUCAACUCUUUGUUUACAAAGGAUAUGAUUUUGGCUGCAGUUUAGGUUCUUGGAUUGAUUCCACAUUUCAAAUCAACUUCUAACCUACUAACCUUGAUGGAGGGGAGGGGCAGAGGAUGAAGAAAAUUCCGGGCAAAGAGCUUUGACUCCCUGAUUCACUGCGGCAACAACAUACCACCAUCCUCCUUUCGUUCCCAUGUCACCAGAAGCAACAAGAAGAUAUAAAACAAAAUUGGUGUUUUGAAAUUCUGAUUAAUUUUGCUGAAGUAAUGAAUAAUUUUGAUUACUGUUUUUAGUCAUUCACAUGUUCUUUUUUCGUUGUCUUCCAUUUUUCGUAAAUCCGAUUACAGUUUUUAAAACAUCAACUCAUGUUACUAACAAACAAUUUCAUGGCUUUCUAUGGUUGUACAGACUCAUUGGUUGCUGACCCAUUUGUUAGGGCUCAAACAAAAAGAAAGUUGAGAAAGUCUAUUCUUGUCGUAGAAGUCCUGUUGGCAGUGAGCUGAAGAAAGGAAAGGUGUGAACACCAUAAUAGGUGGCCUUUUGCUUUUGGCACCGAGAUAUUUCCAAAAUUUCCCUUAAGCUUUAGCAUUGCCACUUGCCGGAUGUGUUUGCAUUUUAUGAUACAAAUUCCAAUGUUAUACAUGCAAAUAGUUAUAAGAACAUUUAUCUGAUGUUUUCUACCUCAUUCAACAACUUAAUUACACUCCCACUGUUUUGGUUGGAAGUUGAGAGUCUUCAUUCCAUCGACGUCCUUUCCUUCACAAUUUAUACUGAAAAUUACUUGCAAAAUGUAAUAUGAAUGGUUUGGUUGACAGUUACAUUAUUACAAUGUGAACAUCCAACAUCGAUUAUAUUAGCAAUAGAUAAAGACGCUCAAGAUUGUUUAAACUAAUAAAACUCUGAUUCCUCAAUUUGACGAGACAAAACUGAAUCAAUCAUAUUCCAUGAAUGAAAUAACAAAAACUUUGAGAAACAACAAAACAAGACUACAUUUGUGUUAAGGAGGACCAUGGAAACUUGAAUGGCAUACAAAAUUGCAGCAAAAAACAUGUGUUGCAAAGUUAUCUGGAAAUCUAUCUGGAAUCGAUUGACUGGUAUCAAAUUUUUUAGAUAUUAGAAAAAAAUGUACAUCAAGUAACACAUGUUAUACAUGAUGAGAUAUUAGAAAAAUAUAUGUUAAAAUAGGACAUAUCUACCAUAUCGUCAGCUUAUAUGGCCAAACUUAAAAAAAAGAGUAAUGGUAUGAGUAAAAGAGCAGCACGACAUCGUUCUCCUGGGAAUAUUCAGGUCAAAGUCCAAUUAUUUGCAUCUCUCAAAUUUGUUAAUUUAUCCAUUUUGUCUGGCUUAACAAACAAUCAUCUUUUUCAUGUGGCCUGCAUUUCAUCACCAUAUUCUCCCUAAAAAACAAAACAACAUCCUCAACACAGCACCUCAUCAUAAAAAUCUACACCACCCUCUUUUCACCCAAUUAUAAUCCUACACGAUUGCACCCCCUUCAAGAUCAACCACAAAACCUCCAUCGGUUCAUCUCAGAACAUCUACAAAACCCAACGGCUCCCCAAACUGAAAUUAUAUUCCUUAGCGCACUUGAUCGCAUCUCCCGCCACAGCUACCAUAUCCAAACCAAUCGCAUUUCCCCGUCCCAACGCGGCGAGAUACAAUGUUCAGACUUAACUCGGUGCCCCUCCCGACUCUGUCCCAACGGUCAGCCAUGGCCGCCAUCCACUCCAUAGCAGCUCAGAGCUUCCUCUCUCUCCCGAACCCCAAACCCAGAAAACGCAUUGCCGCUCACCCAAAACCCAUCUUGACCUCCAAACUCCCAAAAAACCCAACUUUCCCCAGAAACAAACAGAAAGGCAGGAGGGUUUUGAACUCGGCGGUCAAGCGAGAAGAGUGCGAUGUGAUUCCGGUUCAGAGCUCCGACAGUACGGACCAGCAGGAAGGGGUGGUGGCCAGCAGGGUGGAGAGCGAAGCCGGGGAUCAGGGGGAGUUGGUGAGUCAGGUGGGCGGGUUCGGAGCGAGUGAGGGGAGGCUUUCGUUUGAAGGGGCUGGUGGGUUUGGGUCUACUGGGGUUGGAAGUGAGAGGGAGAGUGAGGAAUUCGAGAGGCCGGUGGAAAAACUACUAACUAAUAUACCUAGUCGUUAUAGCAGUGCUUCCCUGAACAGAAGCAGUGCUUCCCUGAACAGGAGCAGUUUUCCAUCAGGCUUUGUAUUUGGUUCAGCUUCAGCAUCUUACCAAGUUAGUGUUUCUGCACUUAAUAAGUUGUUAGGGUUUUCGUUUAAUGUCCGCCCUAUUAGCAUACAUGCAGGAAAAUACUAAGAUGCUCAUUUUGUACUCUUAUAUGUGUAAAUUAAUUUCAGUAUGAAGGUGCAUGGAAUGAAGGUGGUAAAGGACCAAGCAUAUGGGAUAACUUCACCCACCAGUAUCCAGGUACCUACACCGGUGCCAGAUUGAAUUGAACCUUGAUUAAUACAGAUUUAUACUUAACCUUUACAAGGGUUAGACAUUGAUGGGGGACGAGGCCUAAACCAUGAGGUUUAUGAAGAUAAUGAAAAUUUUACAUGGUUAAUUGCAGAAAAAAUCAGUGAUGGAAGCAAUGGGGACGUGGCUAAUGAUCAAUACCACCGCUAUAAGGUUCAAAAAUUUCAUUAACUUUGUUCUCCAGUCCUUCUGAAUUAUUCAAUAGUAUAAGGAGAAUUAAAGAAUUUACGGCCUUAAGAAAAUUAAGGAGGUUGAAGAUGAGGCAUUUUCUUAUAACACAUAUUGUGUUAUUCUAUAUAGGAAGAUGUAAAGAUUAUGAAGGAUAUGGGAUUGGAUGCUUAUAGGUUCUCUAUCUCAUGGUCCAGAUUGUUACCAAGUAAGUUGAUCAUCCGCAUUCGCGUUAAUUAGUUGGGACGAAGUAGUGUGUCCAUGCAUGAUGUUUGCCCUGAGUAAUAUAACCAAUAAUAUAUGUAGUUUAACAUAUUUUGUUCCCCUUUCGAAUGUAUUUGCUUAUGUUCUUGUUUAAUUUUAAUUAUAUAAUUAGAUGGAAAGCUAAGUGGGGGUGUGAGCAAGGAAGGAGUACAAUACUACAACAAUCUCAUCAAUGAACUCCAAAACAAAGGUGAUGCAACAGCUUAAUCUCAUAUAUCAUCCCACCUUACAAAUAUAUAUAUACAGACACACAUAUACAUAUAUACAUAUUAAGAGUUACAUGUUAUAUAAUCGAGCGUGUUGUUUUUAUUGAUCAUGCACAGGUAUAGCGCCAUAUGUGACAAUCUUUCAUUGGGAUCUUCCUCAAGCUUUAGAAGAAGAAUAUGGUGGUUUCUUAAACCGUCAAAUUGUGUAAGUGUAGACUUUGAUUCUCUAAUUAAUAAUAAUUCUUUAUCUUCUUGAUGAUUGAUCGUUUACAUAUUCAAAUGUAUAUUGCUAUAAUGCAUAAACCUUCAAAAUCAGCGUGCAACUGAUUUUUAAUUUUCCAUGUUGCAGCAAUCAUUUUCGAGACUAUGCAGAACUUUGCUUUAAGUUAUUUGGCGAUCGGGUAAAGCAUUGGAUCACACUAAAUGAGCCAUAUAAUUUUAUUAAUUUUGGCUAUGCAUCAGGACAAUUAGCACCCGGGCGAUGUUCUGCUUGGCAGAACUUAAACUGCACCGGCGGUGAUUCGGCUACCGAACCCUAUAUAGUAGCACACCACUUCCUCCUCGCUCAUGCACAUGCUGUUGAAGUGUACAAGACUAAAUAUCAGGUCAUAUUAAUACUCAAUGUUGUAAUAUUAAAUUGAUGAGAUAGGGUUAAUUUACCUUUUUUCAUACCGUAACUAAUCAAGUUUAGGUGGUGAUGUGCAGGCAUCUCAAGAAGGCGUGAUAGGAAUAACAUUAGCGGCAAAUUGGUUUGUGCCAAUUUCUAACGAAACUCGUCAUCAGAAUGCUGCAAAUCGAUCUUUGGAUUUUAUGUUUGGAUGGCAAGUUUAUUUGUUCCAAACUUAUAUAUCAACCCAAUUAAAUGUUCAUUUAUACGAUAAUAAUACAAAAUUUAUUGACGAAAUUUCAAUGAUUAUAUAGGUUUAUGGAGCCAUUGACAAGCGGCCAAUAUCCGCACAGUAUGCAAGUUCUUGUUAAAGAAAGAUUACCUAAAUUUACAGAAGAAGAAUCCAAGUUAAUAAAAGGGUCAUUUGAUUUUGUUGGAAUGAAUUAUUAUACUACUCACUAUUCAAGCGAUCAACCUGAUAAUAAUUCUGCAAAUCCAAGCUUCUUGACCGAUGCUUGCGUUUUUGAAUCAAGUGAGUACAAAAUGAAAAACCAAUUAUUUAAUUUGACUAAUUUAAGUUCAUCAAAAUAUUUAAAAUCUCAUAUUCCUAAAUGUUGUGGCAGCCGA
RNAcentral lists this long non-coding RNA (21237 nucleotides) under Malus domestica (apple). RNAcentral's name for it is "long non-coding RNA (MDOM_LNC002431)". Lineage: Eukaryota; Viridiplantae; Streptophyta; Magnoliopsida; Rosales; Rosaceae. The record is from RNAcentral.